RNAcentral lists this ribosomal RNA (119 nucleotides) under Pteropus alecto (black flying fox). The record is from RNAcentral. Lineage: Eukaryota; Metazoa; Chordata; Mammalia; Chiroptera; Pteropodidae.
GUCUACAGCCAUGCCACCCUGAACAAGCCCGAUCCCGUCUGAUCUCGGAAGCUAAGCAGGGUCGGGCCUGGUUAGUACUUGGAUGGGAGACCACCUAGGAAGACCAGGUGCUGUAGGCG